RNAcentral lists this ribosomal RNA (301 nucleotides) under uncultured bacterium. Its description in RNAcentral is "partial 16S ribosomal RNA". It matches the Rfam family "Bacterial small subunit ribosomal RNA", at positions 509 to 807 of the family's 1533-position model. The record is from RNAcentral.
CAGUCGCCGCGGUAAUACGUAGGGUGCGAGCGUUAAUCGGAAUUACUGGGCGUAAAGCGUGCGCAGGCGGUGAUGUAAGACAGUUGUGAAAUCCCCGGGCUCAACCUGGGAACUGCAUCUGUGACUGCAUAGCUAGAGUACGGUAGAGGGGGGUGGAAUUCCGCGUGUAGCAGUGAAAUGCGUAGAUAUGCGGAGGAACACCGAUGGCGAAGGCAAUCCCCUGGACCUGUACUGACGCUCAUGCACGAAAGCGUGGGGAGCAAACAGGAUUAGAUACCCGCGUAGUCCCUGUCUCUUAUAC